Molecule: long non-coding RNA, 1085 nt
Organism: Neofelis nebulosa (Clouded leopard)
Lineage: Eukaryota; Metazoa; Chordata; Mammalia; Carnivora; Felidae
Exons: 2
Source: RefSeq, a predicted model, not a curated record
UGUGAUGUUAUCCUGACAAUGUAUACCCUUAAGGAGCAUGCGACUCAAUUUCAAAAGUAUUACGUACAGAGAUUCAAAUGACACCUUUGGAAGAGAGGAGUGUGACAGACUUAUUUAUAUUUGAGAUCCAAAUAGAGGCUGAACUCAAUACAAUAGCAGCUGGGAGGAGACUAAGCAUUCUGCUUACAGAGACCAGUCUUGGUUAUUUAUUUCUUUGACUGUUUUCAGAUGGGAUUGACAUAAUAUAUUAACAACCAAAGGAAUUUACAACUAUAAAGUCUCUGACACAGUAACAGGGCUUUCUGGAUGUAGGAUUCUAGGAGAAUGAGGGUUUAUUUCGAUUCUUCUACCCUUGGGUCAGCGUGAGCUUUCUCCACAACCUGGGAGCACGUACCUAUGACUGCUGGCAUUACUGGGCUCUGGCCACCCAAGCAACCCUCAGUCCCCAGGGGCAGCCCUGAUGAUUGGCAGUCAUGCAGAGCUUAGUUGCUAGAAGCUCCCUCUGAGUGAGAAUUUAUAUCUGUGUAGUUCACAAAUGUAGCUCAAACUGAUUUAACUCCUUGCUAAUGAGAUCAUAAUUUAAUAGAAGUGCAAAGAGCAAAUUCAAUAAUGCAUGCAUAUAACAUCGGGAGUUGAAAGCUGUGAGUCAUUUUACUAAGGGCCUAACAAUGCUAGUGACUGAAACCUAUUGAUGAGCAUCUGGGCUACAGAAAUCACUUGUGGAUAUGUGAGUGAAGCCAGUGCAUUUCCAGAUGAUAAUCUCUCAAAUUCAACGGGAUAGACCCCUUGAUUCUACAAGUUGCGAAUUUCACUGAUGAUUUCUGCCAAACCCGGCCUUUGUCCAACCUCUCCAUGUGGAACAGGAAUCCAAAACCAUGGUUGCUCGUGGACUAUCUCACACACCCCAAUUUGUCUGGGAAGACUCACUCAAUUCAUCCCUGAUGGAGAGAAGGGGCUCAGGGAAGUUGCUAAGCAUCUGGAGACAACAGUUUUGGUUAAAACGUGGCCACAGGUAUUUCCCCAAGUCAUAACGGACAUGAUGCACUGGAAAACUCUGUUUUGAGAUCCAUUAAAAACUCAAACUA